This 433-nucleotide ribosomal RNA is filed under the name uncultured bacterium. RNAcentral describes it as "partial 16S ribosomal RNA". It matches the Rfam family "Bacterial small subunit ribosomal RNA", at positions 29 to 507 of the family's 1533-position model. The record is from RNAcentral.
AACGAACGCUGGCGGCAGGCCUAACACAUGCAAGUCGAGCGCGCCCUCCGGGGUGAGCGGCGGACGGGUGAGUAACGCGUGGGAACGUUCCCUUUUCUACGGAAUAGCCUCGGGAAACUGAGAGUAAUACCGUAUACGCCCUUUGGGGGAAAGAUUUAUCGGAAAAGGAUCGGCCCGCGUUGGAUUAGGUAGUUGGUGGGGUAAUGGCCUACCAAGCCGACGAUCCAUAGCUGGUUUGAGAGGAUGAUCAGCCACACUGGGACUGAGACACGGCCCAGACUCCUACGGGAGGCAGCAGUGGGGAAUCUUAGACAAUGGGGGCAACCCUGAUCUAGCCAUGCCGCGUGAGUGAUGAAGGCCUGAGGGUUGUAAAGCUCUUUCAGCUGGGAAGAUAAUGACGGUACCAGCAGAAGAAGCCCCGGCUAACUCCGUG